AGCAGCCGCGGUAAUUCCAGCUCCAAUAGCGUAUGUUAAAGUUGUUGCAGUUAAAAAGCUCGUAGUUGAAUUUCGGAAUCAGUACGCUGGUCGUGCCUUCGGUAUGUACUGGUGUCACUGGUUUCUCCCUUCUGAAGAACCAUCAUGCCAUUCACUUGGUGUGGUGGGAAAUCAGGACUGUUACUUUGAAAAAAUUAGAGUGUUUAAAGCAGGCUCGCGCUUGAAUACAUUAGCAUGGAAUAAUGAAAUAGGACGUUAAUCCUAUUUUGUUGGUCUCUAGGAUCGACGUAAUGAUUAAUAGGGAUAGUUGGGGGCAUUAGUAUUCAAUUGUCAGAGGUGAAAUUCUCGGAUUUAUUGAAGACUAACUACUGCGAAAGCAUUUGCCAAGGAUGUUUUCAUUAAUCAAGAACGAAAGUUAGGGGAUCGAAGACGAUCAGAUACCGUCGUAGUCUUAACCAUAAACUAUGCCGACUAGGGAUCGGAUGAUGUUAAUUUUUAAUGACUCAUUC
RNAcentral lists this ribosomal RNA (509 nucleotides) under uncultured Glomus. RNAcentral's name for it is "SSU rRNA". It matches the Rfam family "Eukaryotic small subunit ribosomal RNA", at positions 569 to 1081 of the family's 1831-position model. Lineage: Eukaryota; Fungi; Glomeromycota; Glomeromycetes; Glomerales; Glomeraceae. The record is from RNAcentral.